GUGCAUGGGCCGUUCUUAGUUCGUGGAGUGAUCUGUCUGCUUAAUUGCGUUUCAAAACAACUGAUACACAGAGUCUUGGCACAGUUCAGUUUAAUGGCGUCGAGUAUCUUUGAUUUCGACAGUAGUCCAACUCGGUUCGCCAGGGUCUCUUUUGAACGCAACGGACGUGAUCGCAACCCUUUGUUGAGUGAUGUCAGCACUCUACGUCUAUCCUAGCUCGUUGAUCGCAAGUGAGAGUUGGGUGGGCAAACUCAGGGGACAGCUUCAACUAUUCUUCUUCAAACUAGAGGAAGGUUGCGGCAAUAACAGGUCUGUGAUGCCCUCAGAUGUUCUAGGCUGCACACGUGCUACAUUGAUCAGCACAAUGCGAUACAUUUCGAAAGGAAACAUCGGUUUUAAGGUAACGUCGAUUGCCUACCGAUAGCACCUGGUCCCCAGUGGACUGGGCAAUCUCUUCUAAAUGCUGGUAAGGUACCCACACUCGAGCUAUUUAAUCACACGCGGGAGGCACACACGGUUCAAAUCUCAUUUGCGACUGUUGCCGCCAUGACGUAUGCAACUUGUCAAUUCUUCGUGGGGAUCGUCGAUUGCAACUAUUCGACUCGCCACAACUAGGAAUGCCU
This 623-nucleotide ribosomal RNA is filed under the name Orbulina universa. RNAcentral describes it as "SSU rRNA". It matches the Rfam family "Eukaryotic small subunit ribosomal RNA", at positions 1280 to 1615 of the family's 1831-position model. The record is from RNAcentral. Lineage: Eukaryota; Foraminifera; Rotaliida; Globigerinidae.